Molecule: microRNA precursor, 61 nt
Filed under: Pelobates cultripes (western spadefoot toad)
Lineage: Eukaryota; Metazoa; Chordata; Amphibia; Anura; Pelobatidae
Source: RNAcentral
UAGUGCUGCAAUGUAAACAUUGCAGUUCUCUGGAACUGCAAUGUUUAACAUUGCAUCAUUA